GUUAUUUAUUUAUAUAUUAAAAAUAAUUUUAUUUUGUUUAAGUAUAAUUUAUAGAAUAAAUUUUAUUGUUUAUUUUUACUGUAAAGGUUUAAUGAAAUAUUUUGAAAGAUUAUUGUUUAUUUAAAGUAGAUUAAUUUAUUGUACCUUUUGUAUCAGGGUUUAUUAAAAUUUUUCUAUUUAUUAUAGAUUUCUCGAAGUUUAAGGAGCUAUUAUAUAAUUAUAUUUAUUGUUGAAUAAAUAUUAUUAAUUUUAUAAUAGUUAUGAAAUGUUAUUCGUUUUAAUUGUUAUCUAGUUUUUUAAGAAAUAAAUUUAAUUUAUUGUUUUGAAGUAAUUUUAUUUUAAGUUUUAAAAUAUAUUAUUUUGAGGUUGAAAUAUAUUCAGGGAUAAGCUUGGGUAUAUUAUCUAUAAUUUGUAUAUUUAUUUUGAUUUUAUAGGCUUUAAAUUAGCUUUUAAUUUAAGUGUGUUAUAAUUUAUUUAAUUUAUUUUAUGAUUUUAUAAUAUUUUAGAUUUUGUAUUAAAAUGAAUUCAAUAAUAUUUUUUGAAUUUUAAUAAUGAUUGAAUUAGUAAAUUUGUUUGUUGUAUAUAUUUAUUAAUUAUUUGUUUAUUUAUUAUAAGGAAUUAGGCAAAUAUAGCAUUCGCCUGUUUAACAAAAACAUGGUUUUUUGAUAAUAAUUUAAGAUUUGACCUGCCCACUGAUUUAAGAUUAAAGGGCCGCGGUAUUUUGACCGUGCAAAGGUAGCAUAAUCAUUAGUCUUUUAAUUGGAGACUGGAAUGAAUGGUUUGACGAGAUGCUUUCUGUCUCAUGAUAAUAAAAUUUAAUUUAACUUUUAAGUUAAAAGGCUUAAAUUGUAUUAGAGGACGAGAAGACCCUAUAGAGCUUUAUAAAGUUUUUAAUAUUUUAUCUUUGGAUUUUAUAUUAAUAUAUUAUUUUCUUUAUUUUAUUGGGGUGAUAUAAAGGAUAAUUAAACCCUUUAUUUAUUAUAACAUUUAUUUAUGAUUAAUUGAUCCAUUAAUAUUGAUUGAAAGAUUAAGUUACCUUAGGGAUAACAGCGUAAUUUUUUUUAAGAGUUCAUAUCAACAAGAAAGAUUGCGACCUCGAUGUUGGAUUAAGGUAUAAUAUUAGGUGCAGAAGUUUAAUAUUAUAGUCUGUUCGACUAUUUAUUCCUUACAUGAUCUGAGUUCAGACCGGCGUAAGCCAGGUCGGUUUCUAUCCUUAAUUUAUGGAAAUAUUUUAGUACGAAAGGACCAAAUAUUUUAAAUAAUUUAUUUUUAUUGAUUAUUAUUAAUUAAACUAUUUUGGCAGAUAAGUGCAC
This 1313-nucleotide ribosomal RNA is filed under the name Rhaphidophora quadrispina. Its description in RNAcentral is "16S ribosomal RNA". The stretch from base 852 to 1217 matches the Rfam family "Archaeal large subunit ribosomal RNA", at positions 2150 to 2716 of the family's 2987-position model. Lineage: Eukaryota; Metazoa; Arthropoda; Insecta; Orthoptera; Rhaphidophoridae. The record is from RNAcentral.